RNAcentral lists this long non-coding RNA (2429 nucleotides) under Homo sapiens (human). RNAcentral's name for it is "HSALNT0044970". The record is from RNAcentral. Lineage: Eukaryota; Metazoa; Chordata; Mammalia; Primates; Hominidae.
UAAUUUCUUAAUAAUUUUAAAAAUCUGAAGCAAACAGGCAAAUAUGGUUUGUUAUGUUCCCUUUUCUGUGUAUUUGAAAUAUUUUGUGAUAAAAGAAAAUAAGCUUGGCCGGGCACAGUGGCUGACGCCUGUCAUCCCAACACUUCAGGAUGCCAAAGCGGGCAGAUCACGAGGUCAGGAGUUUGAGAUCAGCCUGACCAACAUGGUGAAAUCCCGUCUCUACUAAAAAUACAAAAAUUAGUUGGGUGUGGUGGUGUGCGCCUGUAGUCCCAGGUACUUGGGAGGCUGAGGGAGGAGAAUUGCUUGAAUCCGGAAGGCGGAGGUUGCAGUGAGCCGAGAUUGCGCCGUUGUACUCCAGCCUGGGCAACAGAGCGAGACUCUGUCUCAAAAAAAGAAAAUAAGCUUUAUUUCAAUGUUGAAACCCAUUACAGCCCUCUAACAAUUAUUAUAUGUGUAGAAAAUAUUACAAAUUCUAUGAUACAUUUUAAUGGCUCCUUUUAAACUUAAUUUCGCCUAACCAAUGCUGACUGAUAUAACUAGUAAGCAAUACAGCUACCCUGUAAAUUAUUUUUCAAAAGGACAAUCAAGAGUUACUACCCCUGAAAUAAAGGUUUUAUUAAAGAUAAGAAUGACAUAUUUGACAGAAAAACAUUAAAAUUAUAUUUUUUUACUAUCUCAGAGAUAAAUAUGAAAGCAAUUACUUUACUAAUAACAUAUGAAUAAGAAAUAUAUUCUUCCUUCCUUUGAUGUUAAAGAGGCUAUUUAUGUUUGUAACAUUUCUGUUGGAGACAGGUGUUGAUAUGGUUUGGCUGUGUCCCCACUCAAAUCUCAUCUUGAAUUCCCAUGUGUUGUGGGAGGGACCUGGUGGCAAGUAAUUGAAUCAUGGGGGCAGGUUUUUCCUGUGCUGUUCUCCUGAUAGUGAAUCCGUCUCAUGAGAUCUGAUGGUUUUAAAAAGGGGAAUUUCCCCACACAAGCUCUCUUCUCUUGUCUGCUACCAUGUGAGAUGUGCCUUUUACCUUCCGCCAUGAUUGUGGGGCCUCCCCAGCCGCGUGGAACUGUAAGUCCAUUAAACUUCUUUCUUUUGUAAAUUGCCCAGUCUCAGGUAUGUCUUUAUCAGCAACAUGAAAAUGGACUAAUACAGGUAUCAAUUGCUAAAUGUUAUGGCUAGAGAUAUUAUAAGUUAAUAAGGUCACAUGGCUAAUUAAUAAUAGAGUUGCUGAAAACAUACCCUUCAGCUAGAUCUGGCACUUAUCCUCAUUUCUUUUGAACCAUCAGUGAAAUGCCCACCCAAAGACUCUGCUGUGGCUUGAAUGUCCUUGACAAAACUCACAUUGCAAUUUAAUUGGCCAGGCGUGGUGGCUCACACCUGUAAUCUCAGCACUUUGGGAGACUGAGGAAGGCAGAUCAUUUGAGGUCAGGAGUUUGGACCAGCCUGGGCAACAUGGUGAAACCUAGUCUCUACUAAAAAAAAAAAAAUUAGCCAGGUAUGGUGGCACAUGCCUGUGGCAUGUGGUGUGGUGGCACAUGCCUGUAGCAUGGUGGUAUGGUGGCACAUGCCGGUAGCAUGUGGUAUGGUGGCCUGUAGCAUGGUGGUAUAUGCCAGGUAUGGUGGCACAUGCCUCCUGAGACCCAGGAGGCUUGAACCCAGGAGGCGGAGGUUGCAGUGAGCUGAGAUUGCACCAUUACACUCCAGCCUGGGUGACAGAGCAAGACUCUGUCUCAAAAAAAAAAAAAAAAAUUAAUUGCCAUUUUAACAAUAUUAAGAGGUAGGGCCUUUAGGAGGCGAUUAGGUCAUGAGGGCUCUGCCCUCAUGAAUGGAUUAAUGCCAUUAUCAUAGAAAUGGGUUAGUUAUUGCAGGAGUGGGCUCCUGAUAAAAGAUUAAGUUCAACUCCCAUUUGUUCUCUCUGACUCACACUCAUUUGCCAUGUGAUGCCUUCCUCCAUGAGAUGACUCUCAUCAAUUGCUGACACCAUAUUCUUGGACAUCUUGGCCUCCAGACCAUGAGCCAAAUAAAUCUCUUUUCUUCAUAAAUUACCCAAUCUGUGGUAUUUUGUCCCAGCAGCAGAAAAUGGCCUGAGAGAGAACAUUGUUAUUGAGAAGUGGAGCUGUUGCUAUAACAAAUACCUGAAAAUAUGGAUAUGGCUUUGAAACAGGGUAAUGGGUAGAGGCUGGAAGAAUUUGAGGAGCAAGCUAGCAAAGGCCUAGAUUGUCCUAAACAGAGCAUUAAGGGUGAUUCUGGUGAGGGUUCAGAAAAGAAGAAAUGCAGGGAAAGUAGGUGAUACGGUUUAGAUUUGUGUCCCCGCCCAAAUUUCAUGUCUGAAUUUUAAUCCCCAGUAUUGGAGGAGGAGCCUGGUGGAGGGGAUUGGAUCAUGGGGACAGACUACCUCCUUGCUGUUCUUGUGAUGAUGACGUCCACCAGAUGCCAGUGC